Molecule: non-coding RNA, 1037 nt
Organism: Taeniopygia guttata (zebra finch)
Lineage: Eukaryota; Metazoa; Chordata; Aves; Passeriformes; Estrildidae
Source: RefSeq, a predicted model, not a curated record
AUGAUGCCUCUUGUAGCUGGGACAGUCACAAGAGCAAGCAACACUCCCUUUUCAGGCUGCUUCAAAGCUGGUUUUAUUCUAGCAGGCUUUUUCUACAUUCUUACAAAAUUCAUAAAUUUACAUUUCGCUCAUUGGUCAGGAAAGACAAAGAAAGGAAUAUUGGAAUAGGUUUUUGUUAUUUAUCCUUCUUUCUUUCUUGGUUUCUAUGUUGUCAGCCUUGACAGGAAAUUCUUUCAGGUGUAAACAUGGAUCCUCUCAUCAAAUUUCUCUCUGCUCACAGAAUUUACUGUAAAACCUCUUCCACAGGUGCCUUUUUGGGCUAUGACAAGAGCCCUGUGAGGAUGAUGCCUCUUGUAGCUGGGACAGUCACAAGAGCAAACACUCCCUUUUCAGGCUGCUUCAAAGCUGCUUUUAUUCUAGCAUGCUUUUGUACAUUCCUACAAAACUCUUAAGUUUUCACUUUACUCAUUGGUCAGGAAAGACAAAAAAAGGAAUAUUGGAAUAGGCUGUUGCAGGUUUCUCAUAUUUAUCCUUCUUUCUUUCUUGGUUUCUAUGUUGUCAGCCUUGGCAGGAAACUCUUUAAGGUGUAAACAUGGAUCCUCUCAUCAAACUUCUCUCUGCUCACAAAAUUCACUGUAAAACCUCUCCCACAGAUUGGGCUACCUAACAACAGAGGCCAGACAAAACUAAGGGAAUAAAAGCAAUUCUAUUUAUUGAAGGGCCUUCAGGUACAUUUUGGCCUACACGCAAAAAAUGGAUGAUGGGUCGCAGGUUUUUACACUUUUUGCAUAUUGAGGGUUAAUGUUCCAAUUCCAGCUUUAGGUAAUGAAGUCAUUUACCCCAAGUUUGUUUCUCUCAAUUCACUUUUGUUUGUAUUUUUCAAGGCUUAAGGCAGUGAGGUGUCCUUAAUUCCCAGGCCUGGAGAAGAAUUGUUGUGUCUGACCAAAAUGGGAAAGCUGCAGUUAGCAUUGUAUAUGGAAUUUAGAGUUAUACACCAAAGAAUCGCAGGAUUACAACUAUAGAAAAAAUAUAAAAUA